CCUCCCUCCCCCUCCCCCAACUCUGACCUUAUCCAGAACAGCUCUGUGUGGCUUGGGCUCACAGUUCAAUGGGGAGACUGACCCGGAAAAGCCUGCAAGCCCCCUGUGCUGAGUGCUGCAUCAUCAUUCUCUCCAGAUCUUCCGAACCCAUGUGAAAGCCGGACAUGGUGGCAUGUGUCUGUAGUCCCAGCAUUCCUGUGGAAGAUGGGAGGCAGAGACAGGAGAAUAUCCUCAAAGAUCCUGCACCACCUAGCCUGGAGUACAAUGCAGCCUCAAACAACAAGAAAGACUCUGCUUCAAAAACAAGGCACUGUGUUAAGAGCUUCAUGAAUGGAUUCAUUUAGCACCUUCUCCCUGAGGAAAUGCUACAUUGAUCAGCAAUUGUCCAGUCUGAAAUGAAAGAUCCAGAUACAGCCAACUUCAGAGUUUCCAGAGUCUCUCCUGAGGACAUGUCUUAGCCCCAAGAUGCCAUAUUCUUUCACUUCUGUGGGUGAAGACUGCCCUCACCGUCACUGGGAAGUGUCCACCAUUCACUGACAGCCAGCAGCUUGUAUGAGGGACUAUUAGAAGAAGAGGAAGCCCUGAGGGUCCCUGCUGCUUUGCCAGCGAUUUCCAGCCCCCAUGCAGAGGCUCAGCAAGGGCAUUUUGGACACAGCCUUAACGCUGUGGUUUCCAAGGAAAGUGGAUUUUGGACCCAUGUUGAGUCUGGACCACACUGAUCCCUUUGCACACAGCUCUGUCCUCAUUGACCCAAACAUUGUUCAUCUCAAGGCUACUGAUCCCUUCCUUCAACAUUCUAGAACAUCUACAUUGGCCUUGUCCUCUGUUUGCUCUGGUAUGUGGUUACUCUCACAAUCCGAGGUCAACAAAAGUGACUUGUCACCAAAGUUCUGUGUGGGGGGCUUCAGAUAAGCAUGAGCCAUUGAAGCCUCCCUUUACUUCCAAGACACCCCCAAGAGGCCCAGGCUGCAGGUCACCCCUACCCUGGGCUUUAUCAAACUUGACUUUGAAUUGUGUUCAGCUGGAGACCUUAGGAAAGUACAGACUGCUCCACUGAUGCCCCUGGUUGUCUGGGUCUGGUUCAUCCCCCAAGUGUGCAUGUAAGGGGAGCUUACUGCCUGUGGAAGAGACUGUAUAGUUCUGAUGGGACUGGGACAUCUGAGUUAGUUCUUAUGAUAGGCUCUGGCUUCCUGUUUGGCUGUGACCUCUUCCUCUCAAACAUGUGCCCACCAUGAUGCCUUUGGCUUUAGAUCUUCCCCAGAGCUGACCCAGUGGAGCUCCUCAGUCUUGGACUUGAACCCUCCAGAACCAUGAGCUAAAUAUCUUUUCUAAACUGGGUGUGGCAGAACAUACCUGUAAUACUCACACUCAGGAGGUGGAGGUUGGAAGAUCAGAAGUUUGAGGCUAGAGAGGUAGCUCAGUGGGUAAGAGCAUUUAUUGCUAUUGCAGAGGACCAGAG
This is a long non-coding RNA of Nannospalax galili (Upper Galilee mountains blind mole rat), 1459 nucleotides long. RefSeq lists it as uncharacterized. The record is from RefSeq and is a predicted model, not a curated record. The transcript has 3 exons. NCBI's taxonomy places the organism in Eukaryota, Metazoa, Chordata, Mammalia, Rodentia, Spalacidae.